RNAcentral lists this non-coding RNA (79 nucleotides) under Rhodovulum sp. RNAcentral describes it as "Fluoride sequence". It matches the Rfam family "Fluoride riboswitch aptamer (crcB RNA motif)". Lineage: Bacteria; Pseudomonadati; Pseudomonadota; Alphaproteobacteria; Rhodobacterales; Paracoccaceae. RNAcentral also lists the same sequence under 1 other name. The record is from RNAcentral.
UCGCCCGAUGGGGAUGGAGUCCCCCGACAACCGCCUCGCCCGGUCGUCCGGUUCCGAGGCUGACGACUCCUGCCGCGCC